Non-coding RNA from Pelobates cultripes (western spadefoot toad), 227 nucleotides. NCBI's taxonomy places the organism in Eukaryota, Metazoa, Chordata, Amphibia, Anura, Pelobatidae. The record is from the annotation of a GenBank genome assembly.
UUCAACAUUGCAUCUUCCCCUGCCCUUUCUUUCACAAUAUCACAAGCCAACAAGCCCUUAGCAGGUCUAGCAUGUUCCUGCCCCAUCUUGAAUAAUUGGAGUGAGCCACGUGUUAGAGACAGAUAUACAGAGAAGAUACAGGGGAGAAGGAAGAGGAAUGUCUACAGUGCUCGACUGCCACGAGGACUUGGGUCCCGUGCGUCUUCCCAAAAUGUAGACUAGUCACG